GAUGAACGCUGGCGGCGUGCCUAAUACAUGCAAGUCGAGCGAACAGACGAGGAGCUUGCUCCUCUGACGUUAGCGGCGGACGGGUGAGUAACACGUGGAUAACCUACCUAUAAGACUGGGAUAACUUCGGGAAACCGGAGCUACUACCGGAUAAUAUAUUGAACCGCAUGGUUCAAUAGUGAAAGACGGUUUUGCUGUCACUUAUAGAUGGAUCCGCGCCGCAUUAGCUAGUUGGUAAGGUAACGGCUUACCAAGGCGACGAUGCGUAGCCGACCUGAGAGGGUGAUCGGCCACACUGGAACUGAGACACGGUCCAGACUCCUACGGGAGGCAGCAGUAGGGAAUCUUCCGCAAUGGGCGAAAGCCUGACGGAGCAACGCCGCGUGAGUGAUGAAGGUCUUCGGAUCGUAAAACUCUUUUAUUAGGGAAGAACAAAUGUGUAAGUAACUAUGCACGUCUUGACGGUACCUAAUCAGAAAGCCACGGCUAACUACGUG
Molecule: ribosomal RNA, 497 nt
Filed under: uncultured bacterium
Lineage: Bacteria
Description: partial 16S ribosomal RNA
Rfam family: Bacterial small subunit ribosomal RNA
Source: RNAcentral